Molecule: ribosomal RNA, 1421 nt
Filed under: uncultured bacterium
Lineage: Bacteria
Description: partial 16S ribosomal RNA
Rfam family: Bacterial small subunit ribosomal RNA
Source: RNAcentral
CGAACGCUGGCGGCAGGCCUAACACAUGCAAGUCGAACGAACCUUUCGGGGUUAGUGGCGGACGGGUGAGUAACACGUGGGAACGUGCCUUUAGGUUCGGAAUAACUCAGGGAAACUUGUGCUAAUACCGAAUGUGCCCCCCGAUUUAUUUCGGGGCGGGAAAGAUUUAUCGCCUUUAGAGCGGCCCGCGUCUGAUUAGCUAGUUGGUGAGGUAAAGGCUCACUAAGGCGACGAUCAGUAGCUGGUCUGAGAGGAUGAUCAGCCACAUUGGGACUGAGACACGGCCCAAACUCCUACGGGAGGCAGCAGUGGGGAAUCUUGCGCAAUGGGCGAAAGCCUGACGCAGCCAUGCCGCGUGAAUGAUGAAGGUCUUAGGAUUGUAAAAUUCUUUCACCGGGGACGAUAAUGACGGUACCCGGAGAAGAAGCCCCGGCUAACUUCGUGCCAGCAGCCGCGGUAAUACGAAGGGGGCUAGCGUUGCUCGGAAUUACUGGGCGUAAAGGGAGCGUAGGCGGACAUUUAAGUCAGGGGUGAAAUCCCGGGGCUCAACCUCGGAAUUGCCUUUGAUACUGGGUGUCUUGAGUAUGAGAGAGGUAUGUGGAACUCCGAGUGUAGAGGUGAAAUUCGUAUAUAUUCGGAAGAACACCAGUGGCGAAGGCAGAUCUCUGGGCCGUAACUGACGCUGAGGAGCGAAAGCAUGGGGAGCGAACAGGAUUAUAUACCCUGGUAGUCCAUGCCGUAAACGUUGGGAACUAGAUGUAGGGACCAUUCCUUCGGUUUCUGUGUCGCAGCUAAUAACAUUUAGUUCCCCGCGAUGGGGAGUACAGCCGCAAGGCUCAAACUCAAAGGAAUUGACGGGGGCACGCACAAGCGCCGGAGCAUUAGGUUUAAUUAGAUGCAACGCGAAGAACCUUCCCAAGGCUUGACAUAUACCGGAAAGGUGCAGAAAUCUAUCCCCUGCAAGGUCGGUAUACCGGUGGUGCAAGGUCGUUGUCAACUCGUGUUGUGAGAAGUUGGGGUAAAUUCCGCAACGAGCGCAACCCUUGUUCUUCGUUGCCCGCACGUAAUAGUGGGACCUUAAAAGAGACUGCCGGGGUCAACUCGGAGGAAAGUGGGGAAGACGUCAAAUCAUCAUGCCCCUUAUGUCUUGGGGUUCCCGCAUGGUUCAAUGGCCGGUGCAAAGGGGUACAAUACCGUAAGGCGGAACGAAUUCCAAAAAACCGGUCUCAGUUCGGAUUGAGGUCUGCAACUCGACCUCAUGAAGUCGGAGUCGCUUAUUAAUCGUGGAUCAGCAACGCCGCGGAGAAUAUUUUCCCGGGCUUUGUACACCCCCCCUGUCAACUCAUGAAAGUCGUUAACACCAGAAGCCAGUGGUCCAACCCCAAGGAGGGAGCUGUCGAAGGUGGGAUCGGUAAUUAGGA